Molecule: long non-coding RNA, 449 nt
Organism: Bombus pascuorum
Lineage: Eukaryota; Metazoa; Arthropoda; Insecta; Hymenoptera; Apidae
Exons: 2
Source: RefSeq, a predicted model, not a curated record
UGUUGAUCGUAAUUGGUGUUAUUUCAACGUAAUUGACGUUAUUUCAAAGAAAGUGCCGUAGUAUUUGAUGAUAUAGAAAGAGGAGGAGCGAUAAGGUGGUUUGUCAUUCGAGUAAAUCUCAUCCUCGAAUCACCAUAUGUAACCUUCAACCCUCCUACCCCCACCCCCGUCGUCAAUAAACAAACAUCAAGACAUAACAAAGAACCAGUACAUCCAAGUGUCACAACAUGAUGAACGUAACGACGAACAUGAAUCACAGCCGAAUUGAAGUUCAUGUUUCCUGUGGAAAACACAGAGAGAAAGGAGAAAAUAAAGGGAGGAACGAACCUUUGACGCGUUGAUGACGACUCUCGGGAUUCUGCGUCUCGUUCACCGCGAUGGUGGCCUCGCACACCUCUAUGGGAUAGAGAGGGACGAUGAUGUUCAUGAUGUUAUUGACGAUCACGAUU